AACAAGCCUCCGGUUGAUAAAUAGGCGCGCAUGCAGCUUUCAUGAAGGAGGAUGGAGAUAGAGAAGAGGACGAAUGGGUUCGAUUACCCAGAGAGAAACAACACUAAGUCCGACGGCUUCUAUGGUGAUCAUCCCUUGGAAGCCGAACAGAAGAAUGGAUUAGGUGAGUGGGCAUGUUAUAUCUUAUCAAUGUUAUAUCUUAUAUAUAACAUUAUCAAUGUGCUUUCCUGUCUGCAUAUCGCCUUUGUUGUUCUUCAGAAUUCAUUGAGAACAACCUGUUCCAGAUAGUGUGCCUUGUGACUGGUGACAUUAAGGUUGUUCAUUGUCAAAUGUUGGGCCUGUAACAUUCCCCCAGCAGCUGGACAGUGGGGACGGCAACUUACCUUAUGUCACAGACAAUUACCGCAUGACACGGACAUUUACUGUACUACACGGACACUUAUUGUAUGACAUAGACACUUACCGUAUAACACGGAUGCUUACCGUAUAACACGGACGCUUAUCGUAUAACACGGACGCUUACCGUAUAACACGGAUGCUUACCGUAUAACACGGAUGCUUACCGUAUAACACAGAUGCUUCUGUAUGACACAGACGUUUACCGUAUGAUGGCCACUGAAUGCAAAUAUGAAAGUUGGAUAAAUAGCCCUCUCUAGUGGUGAGGGGCAAGGUGUUCAUCAGCCUGGAUGUAAUGCUUGCCCCAGUUUCUGCAUGAACAGUAAUCACUAAACAUAUUGUGUUUACAGUUUUUCUCCAUUGGUUUGGCUCAUUUCUUGAAACAGAAAUUACAUUCUCAAAAGAUCAUUGGGCAAAACAUUCUUACAGUUCAGCACAACACUUUUGCUCACUUGCAAAAGCUCAUACCAUACCAUACCAUCUUCUUCCGCUUAUCCGGGGGCCGGGUCGCGGGGGCAGCAGUCUAAGCAGGGAUGCCCAGACUUCCCUCUCCCCAGACACUUCCUCCAGCUCUUCCGGGGGGACACAGAGGCGUUCCCAGGCCAGCCGGGAGACAUAGUCCCUCUAGCGUGUCCUAGGUCUUCCCCGGGGUCUCCUCCCGGUGGGACGGGACCGGAACAACUUCCCAGGAAGGCGUUCCGGAGGCAUCCGAAACAGAUGCCCAAGCCACCUCAGCUGACCCCUCUCGAUGUGGAGGAGCAGCGGCUCUACUCUGAGCUCCUCCCGGGUGACCGAGCUUCUCACCCUAUCUCUAAGGGAUCGCCCGGAUCUCUCCCAAAACAGUUCACUCAUGUGUCAAAACUAAAUUUCCUUCUCAUUUAAACAGUCAGUGCCCCAAAAAUGCUUCGUCCCUUUGGCAUUGUGUAAGCACUGCAAGUCAAAAUGCUUAGAUGUUUUGUCACUAUGGCAGAGGACCAUUGAAAUAUCCCUCAUGUCCACCUUUCAGUCUUAGCCCAGUCCUUCAUUGACAAUGUUUACUGUACUGGUUUUUGUCUAGCUAACAGAAUACAAUUGUGUAUAAAACUGAAAAAAAAAAACACAUCACACAUUGCACUCAUACUGCCAAGGAAAUUGUAACCAUUAUCAUUCACACACAUACGUAACUUCCAUACAUCAGAGUAAAAAGAAAAUGUAUACAGCAUAAUAUACUGUAAUAUAAACACACAAACAAAAAAACGUGAAAAUUAUUGGCAACUGUGGCCUGGUGGCCAAUAAUAUUACGGCCAUGUCUUCGGCCCUUGGCCAGGUUGAAGCCAGCUUCAUCCACAGACACGAGGAUGUGAUUGGUCUCGUUUCAUUCCAAUGCCAUUAUUCUCUACAACAGCGUAAAAAAAUAAAACAUCAAAUCAGUCAUACAGAAGAGUCAUACACUACAGUUACAGACAAUUACAUAGGAAUGUACAUAGGAAUGUUAUACCUUAUGUAUUCCUUACAGAAUGAGUUACCUAUGUAAUUGUAUUGUUGUUUUACUUACAGUAACCACAAUCCAAAUGCAUCACUGCGCAGUGACUGGAAUACUACUGUAAACUGUAUCAUCAAUACUGUAGAAAAUAAACGAUUCCAUAGUUUAUUUUCUCCAAUGUUUUUCUUGUCAUUUUUAGUAUCAUAACAUCCCAUUGAGGGAAGAUAUUACUGUAGGUCUAUCGCGCACACACACACACACACACACACACACACACACACACACACACACACACACACUAAAUGAAUAGGCAAAUGUGUA
Long non-coding RNA from Esox lucius (northern pike), 2179 nucleotides. NCBI's taxonomy places the organism in Eukaryota, Metazoa, Chordata, Actinopteri, Esociformes, Esocidae. The record is from Ensembl.